GACGAACGCUGGCGGCGUGCUUAACACAUGCAAGUCGAACGGAAAGGCCCUGCUUUUGUGGGGUGCUCGAGUGGCGAACGGGUGAGUAACACGUGAGUAACCUGCCCUUGACUUUGGGAUAACUUCAGGAAACUGGGGCUAAUACCGGAUAGGAGCUCCUGCUGCAUGGUGGGGGUUGGAAAGUUUCGGCGGUUGGGGAUGGACUCGCGGCUUAUCAGCUUGUUGGUGGGGUAGUGGCUUACCAAGGCUUUGACGGGUAGCCGGCCUGAGAGGGUGACCGGCCACAUUGGGACUGAGGUACGGCCCAGACUCCUACGGGAGACAGCAGUGGGGAAUAUUGCACAAUGAGCGGAAGCCUGAUGCAGCAACGCCGCGUGCGGGAUGACGGCCUUCGGGUUGUAAACCGCUUUCGCCUGUGACGAAGCGUGAGUGACGGUAAUGGGUAAAGAAGCACCGGCUAACUACGUG
RNAcentral lists this ribosomal RNA (468 nucleotides) under uncultured bacterium. RNAcentral's name for it is "partial 16S ribosomal RNA". It matches the Rfam family "Bacterial small subunit ribosomal RNA", at positions 28 to 507 of the family's 1533-position model. The record is from RNAcentral.